GACGAACGCUGGCGGCGUGCUUAACACAUGCAAGUCGAACGGAAAGGCCCUGCUUUUGUGGGGUGCUCGAGUGGCGAACGGGUGAGUAACACGUGAGUAACCUGCCCUUGACUUUGGGAUAACUUCAGGAAACUGGGGCUAAUACCGGAUAGGAGCUCCUGCUGCAUGGUGGGGGUUGGAAAGUUUCGGCGGUUGGGGAUGGACUCGCGGCUUAUCAGCUUGUUGGUGGGGUAGUGGCUUACCAAGGCUUUGACGGGUAGCCGGCCUGAGAGGGUGACCGGCCACAAUGGGACUGAGAUACGGCCCAGACUCCUACGGGAGGCAGCAGUGGGGAAUAUUGCACAAUGGGCGGAAGCCUGAUGCAGCAACGCCGCGUGCGGGAUGACGGCCUUCGGGUUGUAAACCGCUUUCGCCGGUGACGAAGCGUGAGUGACGGUAAUGGGUAAAGAAGCACCGGCUAACUACGUG
This 468-nucleotide ribosomal RNA is filed under the name uncultured bacterium. RNAcentral's name for it is "partial 16S ribosomal RNA". It matches the Rfam family "Bacterial small subunit ribosomal RNA", at positions 28 to 507 of the family's 1533-position model. The record is from RNAcentral.